This 775-nucleotide ribosomal RNA is filed under the name uncultured Neocallimastigales. RNAcentral describes it as "partial large subunit ribosomal RNA". It matches the Rfam family "Eukaryotic large subunit ribosomal RNA", at positions 24 to 645 of the family's 3401-position model. Lineage: Eukaryota; Fungi; Neocallimastigomycota; Neocallimastigomycetes; Neocallimastigales. The record is from RNAcentral.
UAUCUCUGUAGAGUCUGCAUAUCAAUAAGCGGAGGAAAAGGAAACUAACUAGGAUUCCCUUAGUAACGGCGAGUGAAGCGGGAAGAGCUCAAAUUUGAAAUCUUCAAGGUUUUACCUUGACGAAUUGUAGUUUAAAGAAGUGUUUUCUGUUGGUGUUUUGGUAAAAGUUCUUUGGAAUAGGACAUCAUAGAGGGUGAGAAUCCCGUAUUUGACCAUUACUUCCAGCGUUGUGAUACACUUUCAAAGAGUCGGAUUGUUUGGGAAUGCAGUCCAAAAUGGGUGGUAAAUUUCAUCUAAAGCUAAAUAUUGGCGAGAGACCGAUAGCGAACAAGUACCGUGAGGGAAAGAUGAAAAGAACUUUGAAAAGAGAGUUAAACAGUACGUGAAAUUGUCAAAAGGGAAGCGUUUGACACCAGUGUUGUUUUCUCGAAAAUCAAUUAAAAAGAGUUGGAUUUUGUAUUGUUAAGACCUUAUCAGCUUACUGUACUUUUUUCUUGCUCUUUUUAAUGCACUUUUCGUUUAACAAGUCAACAUCAAUUUCUUUUGUUGUAAAAGGGUCAUUGGAAGGUGGCUUUCACUUCGGUGAAAGUGUUUAUAGCCUUUGGCUUCUACAAUCGGAGAGAUUGAGGUCUGCAGCGUAGAUCCUUCGGGGUUAGAUACGUAGAUGCUAAGUUAUAGUUUUUUAUAGACAACUUGUUGACUAUGAUUAAUCAUGUAGCUUACUCGUUUACGCUAUUUUACCUACGCUUAGGAUGUUGAUCUCUCACAGUCGAGC